UACGUAGGGGGCUAGCGUUGUCCGGAAUCAUUGGGCGUAAAGCGCGUGUAGGCGGUCCGGUAAGUCCGCUGUGAAAGUCGGGGGCUCAACCCUCGGAUGCCGGUGGAUACUGCUUGGCUUGAGACCGGAAGAGGUGAGUGGAACUGCGAGUGUAGAGGUGAAAUUCGUAGAUAUUCGCAAGAACACCAGUGGCGAAGGCGGCUCACUGGUCCGGAUCUGACGCUGAGGCGCGAAAGCGUGGGGAGCAAACAGG
Molecule: ribosomal RNA, 253 nt
Filed under: uncultured bacterium
Lineage: Bacteria
Description: partial 16S ribosomal RNA
Rfam family: Bacterial small subunit ribosomal RNA
Source: RNAcentral